This is a non-coding RNA of Leptonychotes weddellii (Weddell seal), 417 nucleotides long. NCBI's taxonomy places the organism in Eukaryota, Metazoa, Chordata, Mammalia, Carnivora, Phocidae. The record is from RefSeq and is a predicted model, not a curated record.
AAUCCAGUGACCAGCAGUAAUGAAUUACUACCCACUUGGCAUUACUCAGAGGGGCUCUGGCCGGCCUUUUCCAUCAACCAGCAGCUGGAUGAGCUGGAGACAACAGAGUUAGUGACCCCCGGCCCAUCUGGUAGCUGGACACAGGGGGACAGCAUCUUGCGUAUCCCACAGACAUGCUUUGAACAGUGGGUCAUCCAAACAUCCAAAGCCAAGAUUUUAGCGAAAGCGAUACAGUCCCAUCACUGUGGAAAGGCUCCGCUUGUUACUCAGAGUCCGUCAAGAGGCCUGCCCUUCAACCUAACACCUGAAUAGCGAUCUCAGUGAACAACCUUGAUAUGUUACCGAAGCACCCAGGACAACUCAUAAUAAUCUGGACUUAUGGGACGACUAAUAUAAAGACACUGCAAACCCAUCUAU